GUAGAUGGCAAGCGUUGUCCGGAAUUAUUGGGCGUAAAGCGCGCGCAGGCGGUUCUUUAAGUCUGAUGUGAAAGCCCACGGCUCAACCGUGGAGGGUCAUUGGAAACUGGAGAACUUGAGUACAGAAGAGGAAAGCGGAAUUCCACGUGUAGCGGUGAAAUGCGUAGAGAUGUGGAGGAACACCAGUGGCGAAGGCGGCUUUCUGGUCUGUAACUGACGCUGAGGCGCGAAAGCGUGGGGGGAGCAAACAGGAUUAGAUACCCUGGUAGUCCACGCCGUAAACGAUGAGUGCUAAGUGUUAGGGGGUUUCCGCCCCCCCCUUAGUGCUGCAGCUAACGCAUUAAGCACUCCGCCUGGGAGUACGGCCGCAAGGCUG
Molecule: ribosomal RNA, 376 nt
Filed under: uncultured organism
Description: partial 16S ribosomal RNA
Rfam family: Bacterial small subunit ribosomal RNA
Source: RNAcentral